CUGGCUUCUGGUUUGAGCUUUUGCUUGGCUAAAUUCUGCUUUUAUCUGAUUCUUUUUCAGAAAAUGCUUAUAGGUGUCAUAAGUUUCUUUAUGUUUGAGAAGGUCUGACUGCUUUCUUCACCCUUGAAUGACAAAGUCACCAGGAAGAACAUCAUGGACUCGAAUUGCUCAAGAAAGUUUAAGACACGGUGAUGGACCGCAGCCCCAUAGAAGUAUUGGAAAUGACACUGCGGAAGGUCAAUGCGAGCCAGAGAGAGAUUGCAUGACUCCAAGAACUCCGGCAUCUCAGGACUCUGCAACGAUGAAGGUUGCUCUGCUGUGCCAACGUUUGCCAAGGAGAGAAGAGGAUUAGAGAUGAAAAUCUAAAGUCAUGAAGAUUUGGAGAGUUGGAUGAAUUACUGAGGUU
This is a long non-coding RNA of Bos indicus x Bos taurus (hybrid cattle), 406 nucleotides long. The record is from Ensembl. NCBI's taxonomy places the organism in Eukaryota, Metazoa, Chordata, Mammalia, Artiodactyla, Bovidae.